UACGGGAGGCAGCAGUGGGGAAUAUUGCACAAUGGGCGAAAGCCUGAUCCAGCAACGCCGCGUGAGGGAUGACGGCCUUCGGGUUGUAAACCUCUUUCAGUACCGAAGAAGCGCAAGUACCGUAGCC
This 127-nucleotide ribosomal RNA is filed under the name uncultured bacterium. RNAcentral describes it as "partial 16S ribosomal RNA". It matches the Rfam family "Bacterial small subunit ribosomal RNA", at positions 340 to 465 of the family's 1533-position model. The record is from RNAcentral.